This 465-nucleotide ribosomal RNA is filed under the name uncultured bacterium. Its description in RNAcentral is "partial 16S ribosomal RNA". It matches the Rfam family "Bacterial small subunit ribosomal RNA", at positions 28 to 507 of the family's 1533-position model. The record is from RNAcentral.
GACGAACGCUGGCGGCGUGCUUAACACAUGCAAGUCGAACGGAAAGGCCCUGCUUGCAGGGUACUCGAGUGGCGAACGGGUGAGUAACACGUGGGUGAUCUGCCCUGCACUUCGGGAUAAGCCUGGGAAAUUGGGUCUAAUACCGGAUAGGAGCCAUUUUUAGUGUGAUGGUUGGAAAGUUUUUUCGGUGUAGGAUGAGCUCGCGGCCUAUCAGCUUGUUGGUGGGGUAAUGGCCUACCAAGGCGGCGACGGGUAGCCGGCCUGAGAGGGUGGACGGCCACAUUGGGACUGAGAUACGGCCCAGACUCCUACGGGAGGCAGCAGUGGGGAAUAUUGCACAAUGGGCGCAAGCCUGAUGCAGCGACGCCGCGUGGGGGAUGACGGCCUUCGGGUUGUAAACUCCUUUCGCUAGGGACGAAGCUUUUUGUGACGGUACCUAGAUAAGAAGCACCGGCUAACUACGUG